Molecule: small nuclear RNA, 162 nt
Filed under: Echinops telfairi (small Madagascar hedgehog)
Lineage: Eukaryota; Metazoa; Chordata; Mammalia; Afrosoricida; Tenrecidae
Description: U1 spliceosomal RNA (ENSETEG00000021791.1)
Rfam family: U1 spliceosomal RNA
About the family: U1 is a small nuclear RNA (snRNA) component of the spliceosome (involved in pre-mRNA splicing). Its 5' end forms complementary base pairs with the 5' splice junction, thus defining the 5' donor site of an intron. There are significant differences in sequence and secondary structure between metazoan and yeast U1 snRNAs, the latter being much longer (568 nucleotides as compared to 164 nucleotides in human).
Source: RNAcentral
AUACUUACCUGGCAGGGGAGCUACCAUGAUCACAAAGGUGGUUUUCUAGGGCGAGGCUUAUCCAUUGCACUCCGGAUGUGCUGACCCCUGCGCUUUCCCCAAAUGUGGGAAACUCGACUGCAUAAUUUGUGGCAGUGGGGGGCUGCGUUUGGUCUCCCCCUA